RNAcentral lists this ribosomal RNA (774 nucleotides) under uncultured Neocallimastigales. RNAcentral describes it as "partial large subunit ribosomal RNA". It matches the Rfam family "Eukaryotic large subunit ribosomal RNA", at positions 18 to 644 of the family's 3401-position model. The record is from RNAcentral. Lineage: Eukaryota; Fungi; Neocallimastigomycota; Neocallimastigomycetes; Neocallimastigales.
UCAGACGAUGCGUCAUGCAUAUCAAUAAGCGGAGGAAAAGAAACUAACAAGGAUUCCCCUAGUAACGGCGAGUGAAGCGGGAAGAGCUCAAAUUUGAAAUCUUAAAGGGUUUCCCUUUACGAAUUGUAGUUUAAAGAAGUGUUUUCUGUUGAGGUUUUGGUAAAAGUUCUUUGGAAUAGGACAUCAUAGAGGGUGAGAAUCCCGUAUUUGACCUUUACUUUCAACUUUGUGAUACACUUUCAAAGAGUCGGAUUGUCUGGGAAUGCAGUCCAAAAUGGGUGGUAAAUUUCAUCUAAAGCUAAAUUUGGCGAGAGACCGAUAGCGAACAAGUACCGUGAGGGAAAGAUGAAAAGAACUUUGAAAGGAGAGUUAAACAGUACGUGAAAUUGUCAAAAGGGAAGCGUUUGACACCAGUGUUGUUUUUCUGAAAAUCAAUUAAAGAACUGUUUAUGCUAAGCUUGUUUAGACUUUAUCAGCUAACUGUUUAGUUUUGAGCUUUUCUUUAAUGCACUUUUCAGUUAACAAGUCAACAUCAAUUUCUUUUGCUGUAAAAAAGCUUGAGGAAGGUGGCUUGAGAUUCGUCUUAAGUGUUUAUAGCCUCUUGCCUAUGCAGUCGGAGAGAUUGAGGUCUGCAGCGUAGAUCCUUCGGGGCUAAAUGCAUUUGUGCUAAGUUAUAGCAUUUUAUAGACAACUUGUUGACUAUGAUUUGUCUUGUAGCUUACUCGCUUAUGUUAUUUUACCUACGCUUAGGAUGUUGAAUCUGUGCGAGACUAC